ACGGGUGAGUAACGCGUGGGAAUCUACCCAUCUCUACGGAAUAACGCAUGGAAACGUGUGCUAAUACCGUAUACGUCCUUCGGGAGAAAGAUUUAUCGGAGAUGGAUGAGCCCGCGUUGGAUUAGCUAGUUGGUGGGGUAAAGGCCUACCAAGGCGACGAUCCAUAGCUGGUCUGAGAGGAUGAUCAGCCACACUGGGACUGAGACACGGCCCAGACUCCUACGGGAGGCAGCAGUGGGGAAUAUUGGACAAUGGGCGCAAGCCUGAUCCAGCCAUGCCGCGUGAGUGAUGAAGGCCCUAGGGUUGUAAAGCUCUUUCACCGGUGAAGAUAAUGACGGUAACCGGAGAAGAAGCCCCGGCUAACUUCGUGCCAGCAGCCGCGGUAGUACGAAGGGGGCUAGCGUUGUUCGGAUUUACUGGGCGUAAAGCGCACGUAGGCGGACUAUUAAGUCAGGGGUGAAAUCCCGGGGCUCAACCCCGGAACUGCCUUUGAUACUGGUAGUCUUGAGUUCGAGAGAGGUGAGUGGAAUUCCGAGUGUAGAGGUGAAAUUCGUAGA
Molecule: ribosomal RNA, 557 nt
Filed under: uncultured bacterium
Lineage: Bacteria
Description: bacterial SSU rRNA
Rfam family: Bacterial small subunit ribosomal RNA
Source: RNAcentral